CCCCAUUGUGUUCUCAGGUACGCUUCCUUGUUCUUCCAUGGCAAGUUCAAAGCUUCCUGAUGUUGUUAACCUUGAGUCGCAUAUUACACCCUCCAACAUAACUAAGUAUAUUUCCCAGAGACUUUUAGAUGCUCCGUUGUAUCUCAUUCGAGCACCUCUUUCAAAUGAAAGGAUAGUCCUUCCUUACCCUCCCCCUCCGGGUUUGGUGGAUCCCCAAGAGGGUCGUCGUAUAGUGUUUUUCUUGAAGCAGAGAGAAUUCGGUCUACCGUUUCCUUUU
RNAcentral lists this long non-coding RNA (277 nucleotides) under Manihot esculenta (cassava). Its description in RNAcentral is "long non-coding RNA (MESC_LNC006913)". The record is from RNAcentral. Lineage: Eukaryota; Viridiplantae; Streptophyta; Magnoliopsida; Malpighiales; Euphorbiaceae.